AACGAACGCUGGCGGCGUGGAUAAGACAUGCAAGUCGAACGCUGAUUUCAGGGUAGCAAUAUUCUGAAGUCGGAGUGGCGCAAGGGUGCGUAACACGUGGGUAAUCUGCCGUGAAGUUGGGGAUAACUUGCUGAAAGGCGAGCUAAUACCGAAUGUGAAAAUUAAGAGGCAUCUCUCGAUUUUCAAAGUUGGGGACCGCAAGGCCUGACGCUUCAUGAUGAGCCCGCGGCCUAUCAGCUAGUUGGUGAGGUAACGGCUCACCAAGGCUAAGACGGGUAGCUGGUCUGAGAGGACGACCAGCCUCACUGGAACUGAGACACGGUCCAGACACCUACGGGUGGCAGCAGUCGAGUAAUUUUUCUCAAUGGGCGAAAGCCUGAAGGAGCGACGCCGCGUGGGGAUGAA
Molecule: ribosomal RNA, 405 nt
Filed under: uncultured bacterium
Lineage: Bacteria
Description: bacterial SSU rRNA
Rfam family: Bacterial small subunit ribosomal RNA
Source: RNAcentral